Salvelinus sp. IW2-2015 is the source of this 201-nucleotide non-coding RNA. The record is from RefSeq and is a predicted model, not a curated record. Lineage: Eukaryota; Metazoa; Chordata; Actinopteri; Salmoniformes; Salmonidae.
UGACGACUGCAAUGGCCAUCCUACAUGUCAGGCAGUGGAGACUCUUCGAGGGAGUUUUCAGGGGCCAUGGGAGGCCGCACAGUGAGCACCCCCAACAGCCAGCACACUUCCCCCAGCCGUUCUCUUAGUGCUAACUCCAUCAAAGUGGAACUGUACAGUGAUGAGGAGGUGGGCCGUGGCACAGGGCCAGAGGAUGAAAAG